CGCGUAGGCGGUUUUGCAAGCCAGAGGUGAAAUGCCUGAGCUCAACUUAGGAAUUGCCUUUGGGACUGCGAGGCUUUGAGGACUGGAGAGGUGAGUGGAAUUCCCAGUGUAGAGGUGAAAUUCGUAGAUAUUGGGAAGAACACCGGUGGCGAAGGCGGCUCACUGGCCAGUUUCUGACGCUGCAGCGCGAAAGCGUGGGGAUCAAACAGGAUUAGAUACCCUGGUAGUCCACGCUGUAAACGAUGAGUGCUAGGCGUCGGCAUGCUUGCAUGUCGGUGCCGCAGCUAACGCGUGAAGCACUCCGCCUGGGGAGUACGGUCGCAAGAUUAAA
RNAcentral lists this ribosomal RNA (331 nucleotides) under uncultured Pseudomonadota bacterium. RNAcentral's name for it is "bacterial SSU rRNA". It matches the Rfam family "Bacterial small subunit ribosomal RNA", at positions 568 to 898 of the family's 1533-position model. The record is from RNAcentral. Lineage: Bacteria; Pseudomonadati; Pseudomonadota.